RNAcentral lists this transfer RNA (73 nucleotides) under Candidatus Symbiothrix dinenymphae. Its description in RNAcentral is "tRNA-Met". It matches the Rfam family "tRNA". Rfam says of the family: Transfer RNA (tRNA) molecules are approximately 80 nucleotides in length. Their secondary structure includes four short double-helical elements and three loops (D, anti-codon, and T loops). The record is from RNAcentral. Lineage: Bacteria; Pseudomonadati; Bacteroidota; Bacteroidia; Bacteroidales.
CGCGGGGUGGAGCAGUUGGUAGCUCGCCAGGCUCAUAACCUGGAGGUCAUCGGUUCGAGUCCGGUCCCCGCAA